RNAcentral lists this microRNA precursor (207 nucleotides) under Oryza brachyantha (malo sina). Its description in RNAcentral is "MIR812 microRNA precursor family". It matches the Rfam family "MIR812 microRNA precursor family". The record is from Rfam by way of RNAcentral. Lineage: Eukaryota; Viridiplantae; Streptophyta; Magnoliopsida; Poales; Poaceae.
AUUAAGUUCAUUUUUUAGUUUUUAGAUAUAAUGUUUUGACUCUUCGUCUUAUUUGAAAAAGUUUGCGAUUAAUAUUUUUAUCGUUACUAGAUGGUGAAAUAUGAAUAAUACUUUAUGCGUAACUAAUUUUUUAAAGCUUUUUAACAAAAUUUUCAAAUAAGACGAAUGGUCAAACUUUGGACACAUAAAUCGAAAAAUAAAGUUAUU